Molecule: long non-coding RNA, 816 nt
Organism: Armigeres subalbatus
Lineage: Eukaryota; Metazoa; Arthropoda; Insecta; Diptera; Culicidae
Exons: 2
Source: RefSeq, a predicted model, not a curated record
UUUUCCAACUUUGACAUAUGUACUGUCAGUGUCAAGAGUGUUCAACAUAAAACAUAAAACAUGGAGUCAUCAUCAGUAAUCCUUUCGAGUGUAUUUUUUUUACUUUGUACAAAACAUCGCUGCUAAAGCAAAUAUUUAAUACGCGCUAUAAACAACACCAUCGAUAACCUCAAGUCGUGAAGGAUACUUCAUCGUCCUCUACUUCCACAUCAGCUGUCUACCGAAAUCUCACAGCAAUAGAACCAGGGCUGCUCGAUACAUCAACAGACGGUAUAGGAGGACUCCAACGCAAUCAGCGAUCCAUUGCUCGUAGUUCAAAACUAGCUAGUGAUUAGUGCUGACUGAAGACAAAACUUUAGAUAUGAAUGAUAAAAUUAUGGUGGUAAACACUCAAGUACAAUUCGACCAAAAGAAGCCAGUUCCAGCUUGUCGUCUCAGUUUAGUGUGACACAAUAGUCCUGCGAAAGAAAACUGCCAGGCCGGAGCUGGAAGGAAGCACGAGUGUCGCGAGAUGCUGCAGCUCUUUGGAUACCAGUGUCGAUGAUCCAGAUAUAAUAAAGCGGAUUGGCGUGUACUCAAGACACUUCAACGCACGAAGAAGCAUACCCGUUCCAUGUAACCGUCAGCGGCAAUAGCAACACAGCGUAUUCAUUGUCUGAAUACUGCGGAGGUACUAUGCCUUUUCAAGAAAAUCAAGAGAAAUUGUCUCGGAAAUUGUAACUGAACAAUGAACAUUUCAAACAUGUAGGUAAUAAAAGUUAACAAAUCGAGGAUUUCAAUACAACAUGACAUUCUCACGCGACUUUAUAUAAUACA